AAGCGACCAAGCGUACACGGUGGAUGCCCUGGCAGUCAGAGGCGAUGAAGGACGUGCUAAUCUGCGAAAAGCGCCGGUAAGGUGAUAUGAACCGUUAUAACCGGCGAUGUCCGAAUGGGGAAACCCAGUGUGACUCGUCACACUAUCAUUAACUGAAUCCAUAGGUUAAUGAGGCGAACCGGGGGAACUGAAACAUCUAAGUACCCCGAGGAAAAGAAAUCAACCGAGAUUCCCCCAGUAGCGGCGAGCGAACGGGGAGGAGCCCAGAGCCUGAAUCAGCAUGUGUGUUAGUGGAAGCGUCUGGAAAGGCGCGCGAUACAGGGUGAGAGCCCCGUACACAAAAGCGCACAUGCUGUGAGCUCGAUGAGUAGGGCGGGACACGUGGUAUCCUGUCUGAAUAUGGGGGGACCAUCCUCCAAGGCUAAAUACUCCUGACUGACCGAUAGUGAACCAGUACCGUGAGGGAAAGGCGAAAAGAACCCCGGCGAGGGGAGUGAAACAGAACCUGAAACCGUG
RNAcentral lists this ribosomal RNA (516 nucleotides) under Salmonella enterica. Its description in RNAcentral is "partial 23S ribosomal RNA". It matches the Rfam family "Bacterial large subunit ribosomal RNA", at positions 1 to 560 of the family's 2925-position model. RNAcentral also lists the same sequence under 7 other names. Lineage: Bacteria; Pseudomonadati; Pseudomonadota; Gammaproteobacteria; Enterobacterales; Enterobacteriaceae. The record is from RNAcentral.